Molecule: ribosomal RNA, 253 nt
Filed under: uncultured bacterium
Lineage: Bacteria
Description: partial 16S ribosomal RNA
Rfam family: Bacterial small subunit ribosomal RNA
Source: RNAcentral
UACGUAGGGACCAAGCGUUGUUCGGAUUUACUGGGCGUAAAGGGCGCGUAGGCGGCCUAACAAGUCACUUGUGAAAUCUCCGGGCUUAACUCGGAACGGCCAAGUGAAACUGUCAAGCUAGAGUGCAGAAGGGGCAAUCGGAAUUCUUGGUGUAGCGGUGAAAUGCGUAGAUAUCAAGAGGAACACCUGAGGUGAAGACGGGUUGCUGGGCUGACACUGACGCUGAGGCGCGAAAGCCAGGGGAGCAAACGGG